RNAcentral lists this ribosomal RNA (253 nucleotides) under uncultured bacterium. RNAcentral describes it as "partial 16S ribosomal RNA". It matches the Rfam family "Bacterial small subunit ribosomal RNA", at positions 524 to 776 of the family's 1533-position model. The record is from RNAcentral.
UACGGAGGGUGCAAGCGUUGUCCGGAUUUAUUGGGUUUAAAGGGUGCGUAGGCGGCCCGUUAAGUCAGCGGUGAAAUCCCGGGGCUCAACCCCGGAACUGCCGUUGAUACUGGCGGGCUUGAGUUCGGUCGAGGCGGGCGGAACUGGCGGUGUAGCGGUGAAAUGCUUAGAUAUCUUCAAGAACACCGAUUGCGUAGGCAGCUCGCUGUGCCGAAACUGACGCUGAGGCACGAAAGCGUGGGGAGCGAACAGG